Long non-coding RNA from Esox lucius (northern pike), 617 nucleotides. The record is from Ensembl. Lineage: Eukaryota; Metazoa; Chordata; Actinopteri; Esociformes; Esocidae.
ACUGGGCCAAAAGGAAAAUAAUAUUGAAAGGAGUUGAGAGGGACAAACAGGACAUUCACUUGAACCACUACAUGCUACAGAAGUUGCAUCGAUUCCAGAAAACCAGGAAAAUGUUGAGCCAUCUAUAGACUUCAGAGCUGAACCAGGUUUCUGCCCAGUAAUCAAGAUUCCACUUCACAGAGCCAAGAGUUUGAGUACAACUCGUCAAGUACUAAGCUUUACACCACCAGCAGCAAAUUUACCCUGGCAGCAUAUGGGUGAAAACGCUGGAGGAGAAAGUCAUCGCUUUGUUAUUGGCCCUUGGACGCCCCUGGCAUCUCGUGUACAGCACAAAGUUUUCAGCUAUGAAGAUUUCCAGAGACUCCAGAAUGAAAACCAAGCUCUGAGGGAGGAGAACCAAGCCCUGAGGGAAUGCAAUGCACAAGCAGGUGCGUUACCUGAAAGGAGCAUCUGACCGUGAAGGCAGAAAAAGGCGCCGCACAGCUGAGAAGGACCCACAGCCGACCCCUUAAACCUAGGCUGACUACUGACACCCCAGCAUCACUGACAACUGGAACACUUUCUUUAUCCUGCAGUUAGUAACAUUGUACUGCUCUCCUUGUGUGUUUCAAUGUGUG